CUUGGUCAUUUAGAGGAAGUAAAAGUCGUAACAAGGUUUUGCUAAGCAACAGUCCUUCUGUAGCAGAGCUUAACGGAGACCUUGCACCCGAGAGGGGGGAGGCGACUAUAAACAAGUCCCAGUGCAAGUCAGCGCCGCUGGCAACACAAUCGAAUUGCGGGGACGCUUUAAAGCUCAGUGGUACCAACCCUCCGGAUGCCGGAGGGGGCGGGCAAUGCCCGAGGUCAGAACCCACCGAGAUGUACAAUAAGCAAUCCGCAGCGGUCCGUUUGGACCGUCCACAGACUAAGUGGUUGUGGGGAGCCCCAGCUCCUUAAGAUAUAGUCGGGCCCGGUGAGCAGUCACCGGGGGUUCUGCGUCCGUAGGUGAACCUGCGGAAGGAUCAUUACAAGUGAGGCUACCGAACGUUGGAAACAGCGGUUAGGAGCUUACACCCACCCGUGUUUACAUACUAUUGUUGCUUUGGCGGGCCGUGGCCUCCACUGCGGGCUCUGCUCGUGUGUGCCCGCCAGAGAACCAAACUCUGAAUGUUAGUGAUGUCCGAGUACUAUCUAAUAGUUAAAACUUUCAACAACGGAUCCCUUGGUUCUGGCAUCGAUGAAGAACGCAGCGAAAUGCGAUAAGUAAUGUGAAUUGCAGAAUUCAGUGAAUCAUCGAAUCUUUGAACGCACAUUGCGCCCUGUGGUAUUCCGCAGGGCAUGCCUGUUCGAGCGUCAUUUAACCACUCACGCCUAGCGUGGUAUUGGGGCACGCGGUCUCCGCGGCCCUCAAAACUAGUGGCGGCGCCGGUGGGCUCUAAGCGUAGUACAUACUCCCGCUAUAGAGUUCCCCCCGGUGGCUCGCCAGAACCCCCCAAUUUUUACAGGUUGACCUCGGAUCAGGUAGGGAUACCCGCUGAACUUAAGCAUAUCAAUAAGCGGAGGAAAAGAAACCAACAGGGAUUACCUCAGUAACGGCGAGUGAAGCGGUAACAGCUCAAAUUUGAAAGCUGCCAACAGGCCGCGUUGUAAUUUGUAGAAGCUGCUUUGGGUGUCGGCCCGGUCUAAGUUCCUUGGAACAGGACGUCAUAGAGGGUGAGAAUCCCGUAUGUGAUCGGUGCCGUUGCCCGUGUAAAGCGCUUUCGACGAGUCGAGUUGUUUGGGAAUGCAGCUCAAAAUGGGUGGUAAAUUUCAUCUAAAGCUAAAUAUUGGCCAGAGACCGAUAGCGCACAAGUAGAGUGAUCGAAAGAUGAAAAGCACUUUGGAAAGAGAGUUAAACAGUACGUGAAAUUGUUGAAAGGGAAGCGCUUGCAACCAGACUUGCGGGCGGUCGAUCAUCCGAGGUUCUCCCCGGUGCACUCGAUCGUUCUCAGGCCAGCAUCGGUUUCCGGGGUGGGAUAAAGGCGGUGGGAAUGUGGCUCUUCGGAGUGUUAUAGCCCACCGUGCAAUGCCGCCACUGGGGACCGAGGACCGCGCUUCGGCUAGGAUGCUGGCGUAAUGGUUGUAAGCGACCCGUCUUGAAACACGGACC
Molecule: ribosomal RNA, 1509 nt
Filed under: uncultured fungus
Lineage: Eukaryota; Fungi
Description: eukaryotic LSU rRNA
Rfam family: Eukaryotic large subunit ribosomal RNA (bases 868-1509)
Source: RNAcentral